ACCGCGUGCGGKAGGAAGGUCUAUUGACUGUAAACCGCUUUUGAUAGGGAAGAAGAUCUGACGGUACCUAUCGAAUCAGCAUCGGCUAACUCCGUGCCAGCAGCCGCGGUAAUACGGGGGAUGCAAGCGUUAUCCGGAAUUAUUGGGCGUAAAGCGUCCGUAGGUGGUUUUAUAAGUCUGUUGUCAAAUCGCGAGGCUUAACCUCGUACAGGCAGUGGAAACUAUAAGACUAGAGUGCGGUAGGGGUAGAGGGAAUUCCCAGUGUAGCGGUGAAAUGCGUAGAUAUUGGAAAGAACACCGGUGGCGAAAGCGCUCUACUGGGCCUGCACUGACACUGAGGGACGAAAGCUAGGGGAGCGAAAGGGAUU
Molecule: ribosomal RNA, 368 nt
Filed under: uncultured cyanobacterium
Lineage: Bacteria; Bacillati; Cyanobacteriota
Description: bacterial SSU rRNA
Rfam family: Bacterial small subunit ribosomal RNA
Source: RNAcentral